Molecule: long non-coding RNA, 2567 nt
Filed under: Daphnia magna
Lineage: Eukaryota; Metazoa; Arthropoda; Branchiopoda; Diplostraca; Daphniidae
Description: uncharacterized LOC123467146, transcript variant X3
Source: RNAcentral
GUUGCGCUCUGCACGCGUCAUCUGCACGUCUUUUCACUUUCGACCUCUAUGCCUUAUCAUAAAAUUUUCUCAUUAUCUUUCCUUAAAAAAAACAAAAGAAAUAACAGCAGAAUGAUCAAUAGCCUCAUUUAAGCUUUUCCGCCUUCUUUUCUUUUAUAUCGGCUAUAGGGGGCCUACGUCAUUUCUAUGAUGCAGCAUAUAAUUUAUUUAUCAUAUUAUAUUUCAAAAUAAUGUAAAUGUAGUAUUGUUUAGUAUUGAAACACACGUUGUUCUGAAACAGACCUGCAAAGAAAACGAUAAUUGCACCAACCGAAAUGCAACAGACGAAAAAUAGCAGAUCGUGCUGCAGUGUCCAUCUUCGUAAUAGUUGCUGUUGGCGACGCCAUUAGGAAUAGCCGCGUGCGGAUUACACAAUUGGCCUAUUUGAUGCGUUCCAAAUAAAACUCAUGCAUUUUGUUUUGUGACGCUGAAUACCUUAGACAUACUGCGCAUGACAACAUAUAUUAAAGUUUAUUCGCCAUGAUGACCAAUAUCAUUAAAUCCUGAAUGUCAGAAAGUGAUUCGUCUUACUUCGUCUUCCACACGGUUAUAGAGCUUAUCUGUUUGGCUGAAGCAAACACAAACUUAACGUUCUGUCGGAUUGCUACGCGUUGGUUCUUCAAUUUGUGUGCAUAUUGCGCAGUAUUUAUUGACAAGUUGUUUACCUCAUCUUCGUUGCAAUUGCAUGAAAUAGGAUUGUGUUGUCCAAACCUCACCUGGAUUACACAUGCAUCACAGGUGAAGUCAUCGCCUUGAACUCUUGACAAACAAAUGUUUGUUAUCAGUGUCAUCGUCUAGUCCACUCAGCCUACAAGUCCUGAACGGCUUUACGAACGUUUCCCAUGCCAUCUAGUGUUUGUCAGUGACGCCAUGUUGACGCUAAACAUUCUGGGAUCGGGCAAAAAUGGCGUUGUAUCGACUAAAGUUACCUCAUCACCGAAAAGAACAAACCAUGCUUCAAUGUUUAGUUUUUCAGCACUCGAAUCACCCCCAUUUAACCCCCAACGUAUGGUGGGAUAUAUCAAAAAGUAAAAGUAACUGAGGCCAGGUGGAAAUUCUGCAUCAGUUGCUGUGUGUUCGCACAGACUGUUGCUGACUCGCCCUUCUCCGUGGUAGUGACGUGAAAAAUAAUACCGUGUCAUCUGUGCUCCUCACCAUUACCUGCCUCGCCCUGCCUCGCCAUCACGUCCAGCAAUCUAAACAAGAAGACCAAUUACUCCACUCUCGCUAUAUAGUCCAAGACAAAUUUUACUUUGUCCAAUUCUGUAUGGCGAAUCGCAAGCCCAAUUGUUUAGCUGUUCUCGGCUAGGCUGUCUUUCGGUCGAUUGCAAGAGCAUUCCAUGAGGCAUUCUGUGAGGCCCAAAACCAAAUAGAUGGGACAACGUAUACUAUGCGAGUUUGAUAUUGGAUCUCUCUCGAUUAUGCCGUUUGCGAUGCCGAUCUUGUCAGUAUUGAAACUAUACAGAUAAUUGCCUUUGAACAACAUUUAACAUAUAAAAGACGAGGCCUAGUGCAAAGAUGUUGCUCUUGACAGAGUAUACCUCGGCAUUUUUAAUUGUCAUUACCAUCGACAUUUUUCCCCUCUUUUAUCGUGGCCUCAGUUCUUCGGCAGCAUCCCAGCGUUUCCGCUCCUACGACUCCAUUGUUUGUCGAAAAAUGUUUUACCCCUUCCCCCGUCGUCUUGGCUUGCGCCUCGCACCGAAAUCAGGAUGUUUUCCGGUUUGAAUAUGUCGUUGAAUGACAUUCUUCGAAUGGCUUUGUUCGUGACCUAAAGCUAAUUUGAGGGGGAAAUGUUGAGAUCAUGUGCUAUGGGCGGUCCGUUGUAUCUUUUUGCGCCAUCCGGUUUCAGGACCAGCUUUUCCAACGAGGCGACACACAAUUCCAAUCCAACGUAGUUACUGUAAAAAUGGAGGACGGAGGGAUGAAAUGAGAGCGUUUUGCUUGUGAAAACCAGACAAAAUAACUCGACACGAAUUGUUCUCCCCUUUCACAGUAUAGAGAAUUUUGACAAUGUUUCGAUGAUCCUUCAACCUCUCCAUAACUUUUCUCUUCGUAUUCUUUGACUUUCUCUCGUGAAACUCUUUUGACUGCACAUUGGCGACCGUUCAACUCUCCUCGAUAAACCCCGGCAGAUUUCCCUAUCAGAUUCCCCAACAGUGCAGUGCGGUCGAACUGAAUUUCCUCCAAAGUAUUUAAACAGCACACAAACGAAAAAGGAAGUUUCGGAAUGUGUUUAAAUAGCUUAAGCCAUCAGUGUCCAGUUUUCGAAGAGUGCUGUUGCCUUCUUCCAGUCCUUAGCAAACGGCCAACGCCUUUAUGUUGUAGUCUUGGUAGUCUGUGUGCGUCUGUGUAUUCUCCAGUGCCGUCUGGGUGGACUCGACAUGAGAGAGGACGAUGCGAGGCCACCUAGUGGUAGACUUUACAACAUCUCCCCCUUUAACCAUAUACGAACAACAGCCCCCAUACCGAACACAAAUGAAUGCAAUCAAAAUGUAAGACAAGUGUGAAAAUAAACCAAAAUGAAUGAA